RNAcentral lists this ribosomal RNA (1184 nucleotides) under Achromobacter sp. RNAcentral describes it as "bacterial SSU rRNA". It matches the Rfam family "Bacterial small subunit ribosomal RNA", at positions 270 to 1464 of the family's 1533-position model. The record is from RNAcentral. Lineage: Bacteria; Pseudomonadati; Pseudomonadota; Betaproteobacteria; Burkholderiales; Alcaligenaceae.
CAGGCGACGAUCCGUAGCUGUUUGAGAAGGACGACCAGCACACUGGACUGAGACACGCCCAGACUCUACGGAAGCAGGCAGUGGGAAUUUGACAUGGGGAAACCUGAUCAGCCAUCCGCCGUGUGCGAUGAAGGCCUUCGGGUUGUAAAGCACUUUGGCAGGAAAGAAACGUCGCGGGUUAAUACCUCGCGAAACUGACGGUACCUGCAGAAUAAGCACCGGCUAACUACGUGCCAGCAGCCGCGGUAAUACGUAGGGUGCAAGCGUUAAUCGGAAUUACUGGGCGUAAAGCGUGCGCAGGCGGUUCGGAAAGAAAGAUGUGAAAUCCCAGAGCUUAACUUUGGAACUGCAUUUUUAACUACCGGGCUAGAGUGUGUCAGAGGGAGGUGGAAUUCCGCGUGUAGCAGUGAAAUGCGUAGAUAUGCGGAGGAACACCGAUGGCGAAGGCAGCCUCCUGGGAUAACACUGACGCUCAUGCACGAAAGCGUGGGGAGCAAACAGGAUUAGAUACCCUGGUAGUCCACGCCCUAAACGAUGUCAACUAGCUGUUGGGGCCUUCGGGCCUUGGUAGCGCAGCUAACGCGUGAAGUUGACCGCCUGGGGAGUACGGUCGCAAGAUUAAAACUCAAAGGAAUUGACGGGGACCCGCACAAGCGGUGGAUGAUGUGGAUUAAUUCGAUGCAACGCGAAAAACCUUACCUACCCUUGACAUGUCUGGAAUGCCGAAGAGAUUUGGCAGUGCUCGCAAGAGAACCGGAACACAGGUGCUGCAUGGCUGUCGUCAGCUCGUGUCGUGAGAUGUUGGGUUAAGUCCCGCAACGAGCGCAACCCUUGUCAUUAGUUGCUACGAAAGGGCACUCUAAUGAGACUGCCGGUGACAAACCGGAGGAAGGUGGGGAUGACGUCAAGUCCUCAUGGCCCUUAUGGGUAGGGCUUCACACGUCAUACAAUGGUCGGGACAGAGGGUCGCCAACCCGCGAGGGGGAGCCAAUCCCAGAAACCCGAUCGUAGUCCGGAUCGCAGUCUGCAACUCGACUGCGUGAAGUCGGAAUCGCUAGUAAUCGCGGAUCAGCAUGUCGCGGUGAAUACGUUCCCGGGUCUUGUACACACCGCCCGUCACACCAUGGGAGUGGGUUUUACCAGAAGUAGUUAGCCUAACCGCAAGGGGGGCGAUACCCACGCCG